This 163-nucleotide ribosomal RNA is filed under the name Mesoplodon layardii (strap-toothed whale). Its description in RNAcentral is "partial small subunit ribosomal RNA". The record is from RNAcentral. Lineage: Eukaryota; Metazoa; Chordata; Mammalia; Artiodactyla; Ziphiidae.
GUCAUACGAUUGACCCAAAUUAAUAGAAAUACGGCGUAAAGAGUGUUAAAGAAUGACAUAAAAUAAAGUUAAAUCUUAAUUAAGCUGUAAAAAGCCAUAAUUAAAACUAAACUAGACCACGAAAGUGACUUUAAUCCAAUCUGACCACACGACAACUAAGACC